GACGAACGCUGGCGGCGUGCUUAACACAUGCAAGUCGAACGGAAAGGCCCUGCUUGCAGGGUGCUCGAGUGGCGAACGGGUGAGUAACACGUGGGUGAUCUGCCCCUUACUUUGGGAUAAGCCUGGGAAACUGGGUCUAAUACUGGAUAGGACCAUGCUGUAGGUGGUGUGGUGGAAAGAUUUUUUCGGUAAGGGAUGAGCUCGCGGCCUAUCAGCUUGUUGGUGGGGUAAUGGCCUACCAAGGCGUCGACGGGUAGCCGGCCUGAGAGGGUGGACGGCCACAUUGGGACUGAGAUACGGCCCAGACUCAUACGGGAGGCAGCAGUGGGGAAUAUUGCACAAUGGGCGCAAGCCUGAUGCAGCGACGCCGCGUGGGGGAUGACGGCCUUCGGGUUGUAAACGCCUUUCAGCCAUGACGAAGCCUCUUUUGGGGUGACGGUAGUGGUAGAAGAAGCACCGGCUAACUACGUG
This 471-nucleotide ribosomal RNA is filed under the name uncultured bacterium. Its description in RNAcentral is "partial 16S ribosomal RNA". It matches the Rfam family "Bacterial small subunit ribosomal RNA", at positions 28 to 507 of the family's 1533-position model. The record is from RNAcentral.